UUGCUAUUUUCAUGAAGAGCGGCGAACGGGUGAGUAACGCGUGGGAAAUCUGCCGAGUAGCGGGGGACAACGUUUGGAAACGAACGCUAAUACCGCAUAACAAUGAGAAUCGCAUGAUUCUUAUUUGAAAGAAGCAAUUGCUUCACUACUUGAUGAUCCCGCGUUGUAUUAGCUAGUUGGUAGUGUAAAGGACUACCAAGGCGAUGAUACAUAGCCGACCUGAGAGGGUGAUCGGCCACACUGGGACUGAGACACGGCCCAGACUCC
RNAcentral lists this ribosomal RNA (267 nucleotides) under uncultured Lactococcus sp. RNAcentral's name for it is "partial 16S ribosomal RNA". It matches the Rfam family "Bacterial small subunit ribosomal RNA", at positions 78 to 339 of the family's 1533-position model. Lineage: Bacteria; Bacillati; Bacillota; Bacilli; Lactobacillales; Streptococcaceae. The record is from RNAcentral.